UCGGCUUUGGCACAGCCCAGAAAUGUCUCCAAACACCGGGCAUUUUGGGGAGGAUAGAGGAAGUGUUUCUCCAUUUCCUCUCAUACGAUGGAGCUUGCUGCCAACGUCCCCCCCUGGGGAGCUGCCAGGUUUGGUGCUGCUGGAGCCCUGCCUUGAAGCAGUGACACGGGGUGAUGCAAUGGGCCGCAGCUCUUGCACCACUGGCACAGGGAAAGCGCCCAUGGUGCCCGCGGUCCUGGGGUGGUGUGGGGCAAGGGAGCAGCUGCACGAGGGCUGCCAGGGCUGUUUGCUUCCUUGGCAGAUCCCUGGUGUUUCCCUGCCUGUUCUCCUGUGAGUGAGAGGAUGGAGUCUUGUGUGAGAAACUUGCAGUCCAACCUGUAAAAUAACAAAGGACUCAAUAGGAGGGACAGAAAGGAUCAAAAAAUGGAAUAAGAAACCUCUCUCAAAACGUUGCUACUGAUCAGAACUGGCUGUAGGAGUCGGAUAUCUGCAUGAAAGUGAAACCACUUCUGAGACAUGCAUUUUCCCUUUGCUCUGUGUUAUAGCUUAUGUGCAGACUGCAGCACAGUUCUUGCUGUCUCUGCCG
Molecule: long non-coding RNA, 586 nt
Organism: Gallus gallus (chicken)
Lineage: Eukaryota; Metazoa; Chordata; Aves; Galliformes; Phasianidae
Source: Ensembl